CAGUCGCCGCGGUAAUACAGAGGGUGCGAGCGUUAAUCGGAUUUACUGGGCGUAAAGCGUGCGUAGGCGGCUUCUUAAGUCGGAUGUGAAAUCCCUGAGCUUAACUUAGGAAUUGCAUUCGAUACUGGGAAGCUAGAGUAUGGGAGAGGAUGGUAGAAUUCCAGGUGUAGCGGUGAAAUGCGUAGAGAUCUGGAGGAAUACCGAUGGCGAAGGCAGCCAUCUGGCCUAAUACUGACGCUGAGGUACGAAAGCAUGGUGAGCAAACAGGAUUAGAUACCCGAGUAGUCCCUGUCUCUUAUAC
Molecule: ribosomal RNA, 301 nt
Filed under: uncultured bacterium
Lineage: Bacteria
Description: partial 16S ribosomal RNA
Rfam family: Bacterial small subunit ribosomal RNA
Source: RNAcentral